GCCCCCGUAGCUCAGCGGUCAGCGUUUGUCUUUGUCUUUCUUCAGCGUGUAUUCUCAUUCAGCGAUGUAUUUAAGACCAAGCGAAAGAUGUCGGUUCGAAUCCGACCGGGGUCA
Non-coding RNA from Podospora fimiseda, 114 nucleotides. Lineage: Eukaryota; Fungi; Ascomycota; Sordariomycetes; Sordariales; Podosporaceae. The record is from the annotation of a GenBank genome assembly.